GACGAACGCUGGCGGCGUGCCUAAUACAUGCAAGUCGAGCGAGCUUGCCUAGAUGAUUUUAGUGCUUGCACUAAAUGAAACUAGAUACAAGCGAGCGGCGGACGGGUGAGUAACACGUGGGUAACCUGCCCAAGAGACUGGGAUAACACCUGGAAACAGAUGCUAAUACCGGAUAACAACACUAGACGCAUGUCUAGAGUUUGAAAGAUGGUUCUGCUAUCACUCUUGGAUGGACCUGCGGUGCAUUAGCUAGUUGGUAAGGUAACGGCUUACCAAGGCGACGAUGCAUAGCCGAGUUGAGAGACUGAUCGGCCACAUUGGGACUGAGACACGGCCCAA
RNAcentral lists this ribosomal RNA (339 nucleotides) under uncultured bacterium. Its description in RNAcentral is "bacterial SSU rRNA". It matches the Rfam family "Bacterial small subunit ribosomal RNA", at positions 28 to 334 of the family's 1533-position model. The record is from RNAcentral.